ACUCCUACGGGAGGCAGCAGUAGGGAAUCUUCCACAAUGGGCGCAAGCCUGAUGGAGCAACACCGCGUGAGUGAAGAAGGGUUUCGGCUCGUAAAGCUCUGUUGUUAAAGAAGAACACGUAUGAGAGUAACUGUUCAUACGUUGACGGUAUUUAACCAGAAAGUCACGGCUAACUACGUGCCAGCAGCCGCGGUAAUACGUAGGUGGCAAGCGUUAUCCGGAUUUAUUGGGCGUAAAGAGAGUGCAGGCGGUUUUCUAAGUCUGAUGUGAAAGCCUUCGGCUUAACCGGAGAAGUGCAUCGGAAACUGGAUAACUUGAGUGCAGAAGAGGGUAGUGGAACUCCAUGUGUAGCGGUGGAAUGCGUAGAUAUAUGGAAGAACACCAGUGGCGAAGGCGGCUACUUGGUCUGCAACUGACGCUGAGACUCGAAAGCAUGGGUAGCGAACAGGAUUAGAUACCCUGGUAGGAUAGCG
Molecule: ribosomal RNA, 473 nt
Filed under: uncultured bacterium
Lineage: Bacteria
Description: bacterial SSU rRNA
Rfam family: Bacterial small subunit ribosomal RNA
Source: RNAcentral